UUGUGUGAAUACAUAGCACAUUCGAGGUAGACGCAGAGAACUGAAACAUCUAAGUACCUGCAGGAAGAGAAAGAAAAUUCGAUUCCCUGAGUAGCGGCGAGCGAAACGGGAAAAGCCCAAACCAGCAAGCUUGCUUGUUGGGGUUGUAGGACUCCAAUAUGGUAGUUCUUUCAGAUAGUCGAAUGACUUGGAAAAGUCAGUCAAAGAGGGUAAAAACCCCGUAGACGAAAUGUGGAAGACACCUAGGAGGAUCCUGAGUACGGCGGAACACGAGAAAUUCCGUCGGAAUCCGGGAGGACCAUCUCCCAAGGCUAAAUACUCCCUAGUGACCGAUAGUGAACCAGUACCGUGAGGGAAAGGUGAAAAGCACCCCGGAAGGGGAGUGAAAUAGAACCUGAAACCGUGUGCCUACAACAAGUCAAAGCCCGUUAAUGGGUGAUGGCGUGCCUUUUGUAGAAUGAACCGGCGAGUUACGAUUGCAUGCGAGGUUAAGUUGAAGAGACGGAGCCGCAGCGAAAGCGAGUCUGAAUAGGGCGUUUGAGUAUGUAGUCGUAGACCCGAAACCAUGUGAUCUACCCAUGUCCAGGUUGAAGGUGCGGUAAAACGCACUGGAGGACCGAACCCACGUACGUUGAAAAGUGCGGGGAUGAGGUGUGGGUAGCGGAGAAAUUCCAAACGAACUUGGAGAUAGCUGGUUCUCUCCGAAAUAGCUUUAGGGCUAGCCUCGGAAUUGAGAAUGAUGGAGGUAGAGCA
Molecule: ribosomal RNA, 753 nt
Filed under: Enterococcus faecium
Lineage: Bacteria; Bacillati; Bacillota; Bacilli; Lactobacillales; Enterococcaceae
Description: partial 23S ribosomal RNA
Rfam family: Bacterial large subunit ribosomal RNA
Source: RNAcentral